GAAAUGCGAUACGUAGUGUGAAUUGCAGAAUUCAGUGAAUCAUCGAAUCUUUGAACGCACAUUGCGCCCUUUGGUAUUCCAAAGGGCAUGCCUGUUCGAGCGUCAUUUGUACCCUCAAGCUUUGCUUGGUGUUGGGCGUUUUUGUCUUUGGCCCGCCAAAGACUCGCCCUAAAAUGAUUGGCAGCCGGCCUACUGGUUUCGCAGCGCAGCACAUUUUUGCGCUUGCAAUCAGCAAAAGAGGACGGCAAUCCAUCAAGACUCCUUCUCACGUUUGACCUCGGAUCAGGUAGGGAUACCCGCUGAACUUAAGC
This 311-nucleotide unclassified non-coding RNA is filed under the name plant metagenome. Its description in RNAcentral is "partial contains 5.8S ribosomal RNA, internal transcribed spacer 2, and large subunit ribosomal RNA". The stretch from base 1 to 105 matches the Rfam family "5.8S ribosomal RNA", at positions 50 to 154 of the family's 154-position model. The record is from RNAcentral.